CUGCCGGCGACCGGCGCGCGGGUGAGUAACACGUAUGCAACCUGCCCUCCGCAGGGGGAUAACCCGGAGAAAUCCGGACUAAUACCGCGUGGUACACCAGUGGGGCAUCCCACGGGUGUUAAAAGGAAGCGAUUCCGGCGGAGGAUGGGCAUGCGGCGCAUUAGCUUGUUGGCGGGGUAACGGCCCACCAAGGCGACGAUGCGUAGGGGUUCUGAGAGGAAGGUCCCCCACACUGGUACUGAGACACGGACCAGACUCCUACGGGAGGCAGCAG
This 274-nucleotide ribosomal RNA is filed under the name uncultured bacterium. Its description in RNAcentral is "partial 16S ribosomal RNA". It matches the Rfam family "Bacterial small subunit ribosomal RNA", at positions 85 to 354 of the family's 1533-position model. The record is from RNAcentral.